Molecule: unclassified non-coding RNA, 371 nt
Filed under: fungal sp.
Lineage: Eukaryota; Fungi
Description: partial internal transcribed spacer region
Rfam family: Eukaryotic small subunit ribosomal RNA (bases 1-46)
Source: RNAcentral
AAGUCGUAACAAGGUUUCCGUAGGUGAACCUGCGGAAGGAUCAUUAACACGUAUCCAAACGUUAAAACUCCCCCCGUGAACCUUCAUCCUGCUCUUGUAACCCGCGUAGUUCGCAAUCUCUGAUAAAUCAUAGCCCGGAAAGUUUUAGUGAUUCAGAGACCUCUGGCUACGUGCGAACAUUGGAACAGUUACAAUCGAGCGGUAGUUCUAUAGGCAAUGUUUCCCCAAGCAGUCAGUGUCGGAAAGUGUCAUUGAUUGUGCAAGGAUAGCGCUUCUACGAUUCCUGUAGACCGUACACUCGGGCAGGAGCUCAAUGUAAUACAUUGGGUAAAAAAACCGAACAACUGUUAACAAUGGAUAUCUUGGUUCUC